Diceros bicornis minor is the source of this 362-nucleotide long non-coding RNA. RefSeq lists it as uncharacterized. NCBI's taxonomy places the organism in Eukaryota, Metazoa, Chordata, Mammalia, Perissodactyla, Rhinocerotidae. The transcript is spliced from 2 exons. The record is from RefSeq and is a predicted model, not a curated record.
AGCCUGUCCUGCCUGCUGGAUCCCCAGAUCUAGUUGGCCAGCAGAAUAUUCAAGGCCAAGAAGAGCCCGCCAUCAUCAAGUUCAGGGCCCCCAGGCCCCAAUACCGAGCCCCAUACCAGUGGCCGAUCACAGCCGCAUCCUCAGCAGCGGGGACACAGCUGGGAAGCUUGCGAUGCACCGGGCCAGCUCCUCCCACCUGACAGGAAGGGGAGCAUUGUAAGCUGAUUCCUGGAGUCCCCUGAAGCCCAAGAGAGAGAGGACGACCCCAUCUCAGCUCCCUGACAUCCCCCAGCACCUAUGAACCCAUUGGGGAGGGACAGUAGUUAUUUGUUGUAAAUAAUAAAUGCCAUGUUUGAAUAUUA